AACGCGAAGAACCUUACCUGGGCUCGAAAUGUACAGGAAUCCGGUGGAAACAUCGGCGCCCCGCAAGGGGCCUGUAUAUAGGUGCUGCAUGGCUGUCGUCAGCUCGUGUCGUGAGAUGUUGGGUUAAGUCCCGCAACGAGCGCAACCCUUACCUCCAGUUGCUACCAUUUAGUUGAGCACUCUGGCGGAACCGCCUCGGAUAACGGGGAGGAAGGUGGGGAUGACGUCAAGUCCUCAUGGCCUUUAUGUCCAGGGCUACACACGUGCUACAAUGGCCGGUACAAACCGUCGCAAACCCGCGAGGGGGAGCUAAUCGGAAAAAGCCGGCCUCAGUUCGGAUUACAGUCUGCAACUCGACUGUAUGAAGCUGGAAUCGCUAGUAAUCGCGGAUCAGAAUGCCGCGGUGAAUACGUUCCCGGGCCUUGUACACACCGACUGUAC
RNAcentral lists this ribosomal RNA (441 nucleotides) under uncultured bacterium. RNAcentral's name for it is "bacterial SSU rRNA". It matches the Rfam family "Bacterial small subunit ribosomal RNA", at positions 958 to 1399 of the family's 1533-position model. The record is from RNAcentral.